CUCCAAUAGCGUAUAUUAAAGUUGUUGCAGUUAAAAAGCUCGUAGUUGAAUUUCGGGAUCAAUAUAUCGGUCGUGCCUUGGUACGUACUGGUAUCAUUGGUUUCUCCUUUCUGACGAACCAUGAUGUCAUUAAUUUGGUGUUAUGGGAAGUUAGGACUGUUACUUUGAAAAAAUUAGAGUGUUUAAAGCAGGCUUUAGCUUGAAUACAUUAGCAUGGAAUAAUGAAAUAGGACGUUCGAACCUAUUUUGUUGGUUUCUAGGAUCAACGUAAUGAUUAAUAGGGAUAGUUGGGGGCAUUAGUAUUCAAUUGUCAGAGGUGAAAUUCUUGGAUUUAUUGAAGACUAACUACUGCGAAAGCAUUUGCCAAGGAUGUUUUCAUUAAUCAAGAACGAAAGUUAGGGGAUCGAAGACGAUCAGAUACCGUCGUAGUCUUAACCAUAAACUAUGCCGACUAGGGAUCGGAUGAUGUUAAUUUUUUAAUGACUCAUUC
RNAcentral lists this ribosomal RNA (490 nucleotides) under uncultured Glomus. RNAcentral's name for it is "SSU rRNA". It matches the Rfam family "Eukaryotic small subunit ribosomal RNA", at positions 589 to 1081 of the family's 1831-position model. The record is from RNAcentral. Lineage: Eukaryota; Fungi; Glomeromycota; Glomeromycetes; Glomerales; Glomeraceae.